Molecule: ribosomal RNA, 305 nt
Filed under: uncultured bacterium
Lineage: Bacteria
Description: bacterial SSU rRNA
Rfam family: Bacterial small subunit ribosomal RNA
Source: RNAcentral
CCUACGGGAGGCAGCAGUAGGGAAUUUUCGUCAAUGGGCGCAAGCCUGAACGAGCCAAGUCGCGUGAGGGAAGACGGUCCUAUGGAUUGUAAACCUCUUUUGCCGGGGAGCAAAAAGCGGUACGUGUACCGCAUCGAGAGUACCUGAAGAAAAAGCAUCGGCUAACUCCGUGCCAACAGCCGCGGUAAUACGGAGGAUGCGAGCGUUAUCCGGAUUUAUUGGGUUUAAAGGGUGCGUAGGCGGAAUGCCAAGUCAGCGGUAAGAUCGCGGGGCUCAACCUCGCUCCGCCGUUGAAACUGGCGUUC